Small nuclear RNA from Delphinapterus leucas (beluga whale), 104 nucleotides. Lineage: Eukaryota; Metazoa; Chordata; Mammalia; Artiodactyla; Monodontidae. The record is from Ensembl.
GUGCUCACUUCAGCAGCACAUAUACUAAAAUUGGAACAAUAUAAGGAUUAGCAUGGCCCCUGCACAAGGGUGACAUCCAAAUUCGUGAAAUGUUCCAUAUUUUU